GAGAUGGAAGCGGAUAGAGCUAGCGUAUCUGGCCUGGAUUCAGCCGUAGGUUUGUUAAUGCCCGGAGUGUUCGGUCUCCAGAUUGGGAUCGGCGUUUGGGUUGUUGGCUAACUUAUGGUGCAUUUUCAGGUGGUGUGCGCCGAGAGCCCUGGGAUGGCUUCAUGAAUCUAGUCUUGAGGCCAGCUUGCUGGUACCCAGAUUGGACUAGUGUUGUUCAUCCUAGGGUUUGUUUGUUUCUGACAUGGCAUACGGGCUCGGGUGGGGUUGAGCUGGAGGUCGGUUACGAUCGCAUGCGAUACGUGCUGUGCAUUCAGUUCGGUCCUAUUCGAGCUCUCAUGGCUAUUCUCGGUGUAAAAGCUGGUCACCUAUCCGACCCGUCUUGAAACACGGACCAAGGAGUUUAUCGUGUGCGCGAGUCAUUGGGCGUUUAAAACCCAAAGGCGCAAUGAAAGUGAAUGCAUCCGCAAGGAGCUGACGUGCGAUCUUAGACACCUCGGUGUCCGAGAGCAGCAUGGCCCCAUCCUGACUGCAUGCAGUGGGGUGGAGGUAGAGCGUACACGGUGAGACCCGAAAGAUGGUGAACUAUUCCUGAGCAGCAUGAAGCCAGA
This 608-nucleotide ribosomal RNA is filed under the name Hirschmanniella mucronata. RNAcentral's name for it is "eukaryotic LSU rRNA". It matches the Rfam family "Eukaryotic large subunit ribosomal RNA", at positions 410 to 856 of the family's 3401-position model. Lineage: Eukaryota; Metazoa; Nematoda; Chromadorea; Rhabditida; Pratylenchidae. The record is from RNAcentral.